RNAcentral lists this unclassified non-coding RNA (384 nucleotides) under soil metagenome. Its description in RNAcentral is "partial contains 5.8S ribosomal RNA, internal transcribed spacer 2, and large subunit ribosomal RNA". The stretch from base 1 to 120 matches the Rfam family "5.8S ribosomal RNA", at positions 35 to 154 of the family's 154-position model. The record is from RNAcentral.
GAUGAAGAACGUAGCGAAAUGCGAUAGGUAAUGUGAAUUGCAGAAUUCAGUGAAUCAUCGAAUCUUUGAACGCGCAUUGCGCCCUUUGGUAUUCCUUAGGGCAUGCCUGUUCGAGCGUCACUACACACCUUAUCACAAUAUUUGUGGUCUUGGCAGGAGUGAAUUGCUGGUCUAUGGAAGUAUUCCAGCAGUACACAAUGCUAAAAAAUAUGGGAAGGUUACCAGAUAUGAACAACAGACUUUGUAAAUGGUUGUAGGACCUAGAUCAGUCACAAGUCAUGUCUGGUCCCUUACCUUAAGGACCCCCAUCCUAGAUGAACUAUGGGUUGACCUCGGAUCAGGUAGGAAUACCCGCUGAACUUAAGCAUAUCAAUAAGCGGAGGA